Molecule: long non-coding RNA, 1132 nt
Organism: Solanum lycopersicum (tomato)
Lineage: Eukaryota; Viridiplantae; Streptophyta; Magnoliopsida; Solanales; Solanaceae
Source: RefSeq, a predicted model, not a curated record
AGUAAAUUUUCUGAUUUUUUGUUUGAAAAAUUUUUGUUGUCUUAUUUUUCUCAUCUCUUUCCUAAAUUUCAUCUGUAGGGAUGUAGUUUCUGUUUGAAAUUUUGAAUCCAAAACUUUGGAGAUUUUCUGAUUUCUUAUUAGUUUAAUUGUGAAUUUUCUUACUUGCACGUUCUACCUUUAGAUGCCUCGGCACUAAUUAAAAUUCAAUAGGGAACUCAGUUAGUUUCAUUUGAUCAUGAUUCUAAAUUUGAAGCUAAGAGUCCGUUAUAUUGAGAUUUUGGGAGUUUUUGUUUUCAUUUGUUAUUUGAGAAUAUUAAGCUUUGCACAUUAUUUGAGACGCUGAAGGUCUCAAUUGAAGAAAUUGUGGAUUUGUUAUACCACAAAAGACCUAUGCUCUCAUGUGUGAUGGUCCCUAGAGCUUUUUUCCCUUUCUUCACUGUUAUUAUACUCAUUACUUGUCAAUUCUUUGAAUAUUUGUGCCUUUUUGCUUUAAUUUUAGUUUUUUACUCUUUCAGAUAUAUACAUUAUGCCUGAGUUGCACAACACUUUAUUUAGCGUCUUUUCCCCACUUUCUCUCAUAAUUUGCUUUCAUUGUAAUUAAUCCUAAGAUACUUACAAUGUUGUGUAGCUCAAAUAUUUGCAAAAGAACUUCUUGAUUGGGUAUUUUGGGCUUGUUGGUUGUCACAUGACAAAUUGCCUAUGAAUUCUUGUAGAGAAGACUGGAAGUGAACAUGUUUGCAAGUUCUCAAAUUAGUUAUUCGAAUUGGAUGCUUAGUUCAUCAAAGUUGGAUAGUUGAAAGAGGUUCAGAUAUUGCUAUUACAAAAUUAGAAGGCAAGUCUUCUAAAGUAAGAAAAUAAACAUUUUAUACAAAAAGAAGAAGAACGUUAUUAGAAAGAGUGCUCAAGAUGCGAGACUCUUCCUCAAUUUUCAUACAAGUUGAAAAGAUUGUAUAAAUUUGAAAGCUCAACGAAAAGGGAAGGCUCAAGUCUCCGAGUAAAUUGUUGAUUAAUUAAGGCAAGUAGAUUUCUAAACUCUUGUUAAGUGUAUGAAAUGCGUGUAUUUCCUUGUGGUAUAUGUUUGGAAGUAACGGGAUUGGUGAUGGGUUGACUUGUCCACAUUGAUUAAUUAUAA